RNAcentral lists this ribosomal RNA (1739 nucleotides) under Gnathostomula peregrina. RNAcentral's name for it is "SSU rRNA". It matches the Rfam family "Eukaryotic small subunit ribosomal RNA". The record is from RNAcentral. Lineage: Eukaryota; Metazoa; Gnathostomulida; Bursovaginoidea; Gnathostomulidae.
UGAUACGCUUGUCUCAAAGAUUAAGCCAUGCACGCCUCAGUACUUACUCUUGUACAGUGAAACCGCGAACGGCUCAUUAAAUCAGUUAUGGUUCCUUAGAGCCAGUACUUGAGAAGGAUAACUCUGGCAAACUGGAGCUAAUACAUGCAUUAAACGGAGCCCUAGGUUCUGUGCUCUUAUUAGAUCAAAACCAGUGCUGGUUGAUGACUCCAGAUAAUAUUGCCAACCACUGCUAGCUUUACUGCUAGGUGGUGUAUCUUUCAAAUGUCUGCCCUAUCAAUUGCUGAUGGUAGUUAACCUGCCUACCAUGAUAGUAACGGGUAACGGAGAAUCAGGGUUUGACUCCGGAGAGGGAGCCUGAGAAAUGGCUGCCACCUCUAAGGAAGGCAGCAGGCGCGCAAAUUACCCACUCCCAGCUUGGGGAGGUAGUGACGAGAAAUUACAAUGCUGGGCAUAAUAUUGCUUAGUAAUUGUCUUGAGUGUGAUUUAAAAUGCUACUCAAGGAUCUAUUGGAGGGCAAGUCUGGUGCCAGCAGCCGCGGUAAUUCCAGCUCCAAUAGCGUAUAUUAAAGUUGUUGCGGCUAAAAAGCUCGUAGUUGGAUCUCAAGGCACUGGCUCUAGCUGGCCAUGGUUGUCAGUCUAGUGCUCAGGCCUUUAUUCUCACUUGGUCUAGUGUGCUCUUAACUGAGUGUGCUAGUUUACCGGUGGGACGUUUACUUUGAGGAAAUGAGAGUGCUCAGAGCAGGCAUUUGCCUGAAUCUUAGUGCAUGGAAUAAUGGAAUAUGACCUUUGGUUAGUUUUGCUGGUUUUUCCCAACCAGGUAAUGAUAAAUAGGGACAGACGGGGCCGUUCGUACUGCUGCGUUAGAGGUGAAAUUCUUAGAUCGCAGCAAGACGACCAAAAGCGAAAGCAAUCGGCAAGUAUGUCCUCAUUAAUCAAGAACGAAAGUCGGAGGUUCGAAGGGGAUCAGAUACCCCCCUAGUUUCGACCAUAAACGAUGCCAACUAGGAACCAGUCAACGUUGCUCUGUUGACCUGACUGGGUCCUCUCGGGAAGCCCAAGUGUUUGGGUUCCGGGGGAAGUAUGGUUGCAAAGCUGAAACUUAAAGGAAUUGACGGAAGGGCACCACCAGGAGUGGAGCCUGCGGCUUAAUUUGACUCAACACGGGAAAUCUCACCUAGCCCGGACACUGUUAAGAUUGACAGGCUAAAAGCCCUUUCAUGAUUCAGCGGAUAGUGGUGCAUGGCCGUUCUUAGUUCGUGGAGUGAUUUGUCUGGUUAAUUCCGGUAACGAACGAGACUCAUUCCUGCUAACUAGCCGCCUGCUGGCUCUUGCCAGUUGGGUGAAAUUAGCUUCUUAGAGGAACUGGGGGCUUGGAAGCCUCACGAAAUUGAGCAAUAACAGGUCUGUGAUGCCCUUAGAUGUUUAGGGCUGCACGCGCGCUACAAUGAGCAGGUCAACAUGCUGUACUGGGCUGGAAACAGCUUGGGAACCAUGUGAAUCCUGCUCGUGACUGGGAUAGAGAAUUGCAAUUAUUUUUCUUGAACGAGGAAUUCCCAGUAAACGCAAGUCAUAAGCUUGCAUUGAUUACGUCCCUGCCCUUUGUACACACCGCCCGUCGCUAGUAGCGAUUGAUGGCUUAGCGAGGAUCCUGGACUGGUUGGCUUCAUUAUUGUUGCUGGCUGGGAAGAGAUUCUAGCUAUGCUAUUGAGAGCAACUAAAAGUCGUAACAAGGUAUCC